CCCAACAAAAAUGUGUGCCCAUACUCAUUGUGGUGGAGAGACAAAGUCCCAGAAAGAGAGGGGGGCUGAGGGGCAGCAACAGGUAACAGAUCUCCUUCUGUCACCUGUUCCUUACACCACCACUGACAACAAGGACCCCCAUUCACAACCCACCCUCCUAUUCUUCCCUCAAACUAUGAAUAAGUAAUCAUUCCAUCCAAGAGGCAGGCAGGGAACUUGGACCAGACCAUUUCAUGUGGCAGCCGCGGGUAAAGCGAUCCGCCCAUCAUGGGCAACCAGAGCCUGAGAGGGCCUCUUCUUCAGCCGGUCUGUAACCCAACCUGUGGCUUUCGCUCUCUCUGUUUACCUGCCGCAUCAGGCCGGCCCUUUAUUCCAUGAGGUAAGAAGUAAGCCAAGUGAGAGCUGAACCAGUGAUUUCAGAGAGACGAGAAAUACGGAUAUCAUGGCAAACAGUGUCAAAGGCCGAGCUAAGGUCAAGAAGAAAUUAGAUAUUUGUAGACCCAGAAUCCACAGACAGGAGGAUGUCAAUAACCACCCAAAGGAGAGCCGUCUCAGUGCUGUAUGAUUGCAGAGGUCCCUGGGUUGGCUCACAGUCUGGAUGGGGGUUCCUGGUUCAAAAACAGUUAACAACACCUGCAAGAGAUCACUGAUCUGAGAAAUCUUUUUAUUCAUCCUCAACACUAGUCGUUGCCACAACAAGAACAAACUUCCCAUGUUUACACACCUUACAGUGGACAACUUGAUCUAAUGCAAACAUUUCAAGAUAAAUGGACAAAUUUGAUG
Molecule: long non-coding RNA, 783 nt
Organism: Myxocyprinus asiaticus (Chinese sucker)
Lineage: Eukaryota; Metazoa; Chordata; Actinopteri; Cypriniformes; Catostomidae
Exons: 3
Source: RefSeq, a predicted model, not a curated record